AGAGCCCCAUUCAUACUGGAUAAAUUUUAGUCGCAUCCGGUCCGUCAAAUGUCUUAUGAUCUAUAGAGCCCUUUUGAUUUUUCUAUGGCAACAUUUGCUAUGCUGACGUCAUUGCCACGUCAUUACUGUCAGUCAGACAGAAAUAAAAGAAAAAUGGAUGCCGUUCAGACGUACACGCAUUAUUUGGAACUGAAAAUUACGUAAUUUAUCGACCUGCUGGCUUGUAUUUGUUAUAAAUCAUAAAAAAAUUAUGGAAAACAUCAUGAACAAUAAUGAAACAAACCGAACCUUUAGCUACAAUAAUAAAAUGACCCCAUGACGCCAGUGGAACUACGUGGUUUUCUUUCAUGAUGAUUUGAUGAUACCAUAAUGGAAUUAGCCAAGUUUUCGCCGUAUUGGGUGCUAGAUGCCCCUUGGAGUUAAGCCCCAGUGCCACUAUACUACCUUACCAGUUAUGUGUGGGUGUUGUAGUCCUAAGACACCCCGGAGGUACAAAGGGCCUUCACAAACUCACGCCACGCCU
Molecule: long non-coding RNA, 523 nt
Filed under: Leguminivora glycinivorella
Lineage: Eukaryota; Metazoa; Arthropoda; Insecta; Lepidoptera; Tortricidae
Description: uncharacterized LOC125224802, transcript variant X1
Source: RNAcentral